UUCACGUUUCUCUUUCUCUCUCAUUUUUUCUUUGUCACGUUUCUCUUUCUUUUUCAUUUUUUCUCUUUUUCUCUUUCUCUCUACAUAAGGUGGAGUUGUUCUUCCUCUUCCUCAAUAUUCUCCAUCUUCCUCUUCCUCAAUCUUCUCCAUAAACCUUCUUCCUCUUUCUAUCUCUCUUCCCUCUAUUUGUUAUUCUCUUUCUCUAUCAUUGAGAUGAAACUCUGAUUUCAGACUAUGUAACGAUGCACGAAAUUAGGGUUUCAAAAAUCUUAUUUAGCCUAAAAGAAGAAACACGAAAUCAAGACUUUGGAGAAAGCACUGGUAUCCCUUUUUGUAUUCUACCAUGGUCCGGUUUGAAUGUAUAUUUGGACUCAUAAGCUCGGUUUGGACUAUCUACGUUUUUUUUGUGUAGAUUCAUACUUAUUCUGUUUUAUUGAAAAACCUUUUAUCAUCUGGAAAUUGGAGGAAUUAUUUAGAGAGCGCUUCAAAGGAUAGUGCAUGAAUCUCAAUUACCAGUGGAAGAGCAUGAAGUGGUGAUGAGGAAUUUGGAGCGCAAAGAAACUGAGUACAUGCGGCUUCAAAGACGUAAAAUUGGAAUUGAUGACUUUAAGCAACUAACACUAAUUGGUAAAGGUGCUUUCGGUGAGGUAUGAAAACACAAUUAAGCAAUGGAUUAGUUUCUUGGAUGUUGUCUGGUUGUUGUGAACUUAAAGUAUGUUCAUGCAUCACUGUAAGUUGUUAGCUUUUGUGAAAAAAUGUAGGUGAGGUUAUGCCGUGGUAAAAGUACUGGAUAAAUUUUUACCAUGAAGAAAGAUGAAAAGACUCUCACCACACUAAAAUAAAAUAUAGAUUGAAAUAAAAAUAUUUUUAGAUAAUUUUUUAAUCAUGGUCUAUAUAUUAUUGUACUUUUAAUUAUAGAAAAACUGUACAUUGCUCAAUUUACAAUUAGAUCAAUUGCAUCUAGAAAAUAGUAUACUUUUUGUCUCAUUGAUAAUUUUUUCUUUUAAUAAUGUCUGAAUUCAAAUACGGAAAAAUGUACUUUUUAUAUUAUUUAUAUUUAUUUUUACAAUUUUAGAAACAUCUGCAAAUAACAUAUAAGUACCGUACGAACGCACAGGUGUCUCAUUACAAUUCUAUCAAUUCUUAAAAAAUACCUUUUUUUUUCUUUCUAUUUUUCACAAUGGUUUUUUUAUAAAUUAUGUGUUUAAUUGUUUUUCUUAACAAUAGAAAUUUUGUUUUCUUUUUUCCAAUAACAUUUAUGUAGGCAUUUAAUUUUGAUUAAAUAUUGAACAUGCUCGCAAAACUUUAUGCAUCACAUUAAGCAUGCCCAAAAUAUUCAAUCCAAACAAUUUUGGUUGGUAUUAUGAGGUGUGUCAUAAGUGUAAUAGGUCUAACAAGAAUCGUGUAUGACUUUGAAUGCAAUUGUGGUUAGCAGGAUGUUAUAAGUAAGUUCAUAUUUCAACUUUAAAACACAACACAUGUGCAUUAAUCACUCAAGGUUUAACUAAUCAUGGUUGUGUCAUUUUUUUUUGGAUAAAAAUUUGAAAUUGAGGUUGCGUACGACAAACAUUGAAUGCUUCUUAUUUUAGAAUAAAAAGUGUACCUCAAAUAUUGGGAUGACAACUUUGAAUUCUCAUAACAAAUUGGUGACAUAUCUGCGGUCCACGUCAGAACUCGUCCGGACGCAUGGGUAACACACCAAUUUAUGUGCGAACGUACGAGUAACAUAUCAGUACCGUAUAAAUGUACAGGUAACACAUCAGUACCGUGUGAACGCACGGAUAACAAAUCAGUGUCGUGCAAACACACGGGUUACUCACAAUAAUAUUUUAUUUUGAUGUUAUAUUUUAUUUAAAAUACAAUAGAUAAUCUAUGAAUAAUUGUAAUAUAUAUUAUGAAUGUCUUUCUUUUUUAAAAAACUUGAAAAAUUCAUACAGUUUUGAUUGUAUUUUAAAAAUAUGUCUUUAUUUUAAAAAUAAUAAAUUAUUCUGGUAAAAUUAUUUUAUUUUUCUAAUUUAGAAUAUAUAUAUAUAUAUAUAUAUAUAUAUAUAUAUAUAUAUAUAUAUGUGUGUGUGUGCGCGCGCGCGCGCGUGUGUGUGUUUUUAUAUUUUAAAUGUAAUACUUCUCAAUUUAAAAUUAAAUCUGAUAUUUAUCUGGUAUAUUCGGUCCAGCCCAAACCAGUACCCGUGCGAACGCACGGGUAUCCUACUAGUUGAAAAUGUGCAUAAAUGAUAACUACUUAUAGGCUUUUCCGUAAGUGUAACCAUAGGCCUCAAUUGCUAGUAUUGUAAGAGCUAUAGACGAAAAAAGUAUCCUCACAUAAUACUGAUAUGAUCUUUGGUACCCAUGGAUGUAUGAAAUCCCGUAAGGAUUAAUACUACCAGAGUCAUAGCUAAUUCAUUUAAUCGCUAUGGCUAAGAAGAUUCCUAAGAUAGGAGAAUUCCACUGAGAUAAUUUAUUCUCAUCCAUUUCAUUAUAAUAAAUAAAGGUGAUCGUUCAGCAACUAAAGGUAAAGUCAAUAUGACUUGGGGAGGUUUGCAUGAAAACUAUAUUUUAGCGUGUUUUGAUGUAUUUUCGUUGUAUUUUAUUAUGAUACUCUAAUAUUGCAUUUGUAUAGUUUGAGCAUACCUUGUAAUGUGUGCAAGACUUAUGUGUUGAUGUAAAUGUAUCAUUAUUGUUGUAUGUUUCAAACCCUUAUAACAACUUAAUUAUGUGAUUUUAGAUGCACAUUUUA
Molecule: long non-coding RNA, 2734 nt
Organism: Vicia villosa (hairy vetch)
Lineage: Eukaryota; Viridiplantae; Streptophyta; Magnoliopsida; Fabales; Fabaceae
Exons: 3
Source: RefSeq, a predicted model, not a curated record